Long non-coding RNA from Strongylocentrotus purpuratus (purple sea urchin), 221 nucleotides. RefSeq lists it as uncharacterized. The transcript is spliced from 2 exons. Lineage: Eukaryota; Metazoa; Echinodermata; Echinoidea; Camarodonta; Strongylocentrotidae. The record is from RefSeq and is a predicted model, not a curated record.
UUCCAAGUCGGGUCAACUCUCGUUGAGUACAUCUUUGCUGAUGAGAGCGGAAACCUAGCACCUUUGUGUACCUUCAACGUCAACGUCAAUACUGUCGAUACCACCCCUCCAGAGGUACAAUCCUGCCCUUCCAACCAGACAUUCUCGGUUCUCAAAACCACCACACCAAUCACUUGGACACCACCAACAGCCAGUGAUGCGUCUGGAAUUGCAUUCAUCGU